Molecule: ribosomal RNA, 429 nt
Filed under: Chloroflexota bacterium
Lineage: Bacteria; Bacillati; Chloroflexota
Description: Chloroflexi bacterium partial 16S ribosomal RNA
Rfam family: Bacterial small subunit ribosomal RNA
Source: RNAcentral
UGGGGAAUAUUGCACAAUGGGCGCAAGCCUGAUGCAGCCAUGCCGCGUGUAUGAAGAAGGCCUUCGGGUUGUAAAGUACUUUCAGCGGGGAGGAAGGGAGUAAAGUUAAUACCUUUGCUCAUUGACGUUACCCGCAGAAGAAGCACCGGCUAACUCUGUGCCAGCAGCCGUGGUAAUACGGAGGGUGCAAGCGUUAAUCGGAAUUACUGGGCGUAAAGCGCACGCAGGCGGUUUGUUAAGUCAGAUGUGAAAUCCCCGGGCUCAACCAGGGAACUGCAUCUGAUACUGGCAAGCUUGAGUCUCGUAGAGGGGGGUGGAAUUCCAGGUGUAGCGGUGAAAUGCGUAGAGAUCUGGAAGAAUACCGGUGGCGAAGGCGGCCCCCUGGACGAAGACUGACGCUCAGGUGCGAAAGCGUGGGGAGCAAACAGG